CAAACACAUAAAAAACUGUUGGAAUUUAGCCCAUAUGUGACACAAUUAGAGCGACCGUGUAAGGAAGUCUUAGAUCUUAUCCAUAUGAUUUGGAUACACCCUCAGAGAUUUUAAUCCUUACUUAAAUUGGAAUCAAGAGAAUCUCUUAGAGAAUCCUAGUAGAAUUAAAUUAUGACUCUUAGCGAGCCUAUAAAUAGGACACCAACAUUCCAAGAUCAGGGUUCUUGAGUUGUGGAGAUUUGUGAUUGUUCGAGUAAGCUCACACACACGAGCUUUAAUAAUUGUAAGUAACAAUAAUAUUGUAAGGUUAUAGCAAGGAAUUGGACUAGAAGAUUGUAGAUCCGUAUAGUACCACCACAUGCUUCCGACAAAAACAUUUGAAUGUGUAGAACUUUCUAUUAACCUAUUAACUACCCAAAAAUAAGUAGCCUAUCCAAAUGAUUUAACAAUAGAGAUCACAUCUCUGGAGGCAACCUUCUCUGGUGGCAAGAGCAUCUAUUUUGGAUCUUUUUCGAGUGAAAGAAGUAUCAAUUACCAGUUUAAGUAACUUUGUUAUCCAAUGCAUUCCACAGAAUUUCAUGGAAAGAGUUAUUCUUCAAUUAGAAAACAAAAUAACAAACCUCACGCUGCCUAUUCCUCUCAUCAUAUAGAACUUUAUUAAAGAUCAGGCCAUGUUAAAGGUGUAAAAAUGGACAAGGCUGGCCCAAGCCCGCCAAGUCCAUCAAUAAGAGCUCAGUCCACAGAAGGCACAGCCCAACUACAUUGGCUCUAGGACCCCCCCAGCCCAUACCGGGCUGGCUUAGGUGGCCCUAUUAAUUAAAAAAAAUAAAGAACUAUGCCCGUUAAUCAAGAAAACAUAACCAACUCUUACAGACUGCAGAGUCCAAUGGAUUUUGCAUCCAGCAGCUCUGAAUUAAUGCAGAGUCCAUUUCUAAUUGAAUUUUUUUUUGAGAUGUUAUCAAAGAAACGAAAAAUGAAUAUUUUUUAUAUUAAAUUACAGCCUAGCUGAUAAAUAAUUUGUCCAUCAUUACAAUAAAGAUUUACUAUCCUUAAGUUUCUUAUUUUUGAGUCCUAGUCCUUGGUUUAGUACUUACAGAGAGGAAGUAACAAUUGGAGGUCUUGGAAGAUGAAGAGAAGGCUCUGUGCAACUAUCUUUCUAGUGAAUAAAGUACUUAGAAGAAAAUCAGAUAAAAGUUCAUGGUUUCAACGUCAACAUAUCUCAUAAACAAAAUCAAAGUUCAGUGGGAGUAACCAAGUUAUCCUGAUGUUGAGUUAUUAAAAAAAAUUAUCUCUACAAGUUAAAUGUAGCUGAGAUAUGAAUACUGAGAUGGAUUUGUGGUAAAACGAGUAGUAACAAAUAAGCAUAUUCAUUAAUUGGAGCCAGUUGAAUAUGAAUCGGAUGAAAAAUGAUUAAGAUGGUUUGAGCACAUUUUAAAAAAAAAGCUUUAUCGCACCAAUUGGAAAAGAAAUGAUACUAGUACCGAUAAUGAUAGAAUUGGAGAUCCUAUUGCAAGCAAAGCAUCAAGUGCAAUGAUUGCAUGAAGCCAUUUUCAGUCAUUUAUCGAAAUAUGUUUCAUCCUCUCGACCCACAAGAUCAACAAAGAGAUUGAUAUGGCUCAGCGCCACUUUAUAAAGUAACAUUGAUGGAGAUACACAGGCAAUAAAAAGUGCUAGUUAGAGCCCUCUUUAAAAUACUUUAACCUAUAAUUAUUUUUGUUAGUCAAUUUACUUCGGAGCUUCUCCUCUGACAUCCAUGGAUAAAAUUCUGACAACCCAAAAAAAUAAAAAUAAAAAGGAGAGAAGUGAAAGUUAAUCAAAAAUUAAACAUUAUAAAUGUGAUAAUCUAAUAAAACCAAUUUGAUAAUGCAAAUUCAUUCCUCUUUCCACUCCACAGCGCAAAAUCAUUGCCUCUUUAUAUUCAAACUAAGCAGAAUCAUUGUUUAAUUUUUUACUAAUCGGUUCUCCUUCAAAUUACAUGAUCUGAAAAUUGAAAUUACAGGCAGAAAAUACAUAGUAUGCCUUAAUAAAUAAAAAAUAGUGCCUGAUUUCUUUUAACGAAAAUUUACCUUUUAAGAGCUCGACAAUGCACCUUUCUUCUGCUUCUUUGUAUAAAAUUUCAUCCUCAAUACUAUUGCCCCGAUCUGAAGCUAUACUAGAGAGAACGAGGGUCAUUUUGGAAAAUUGCACCAUCAGUCCUCAAUUAUCC
Molecule: long non-coding RNA, 2206 nt
Filed under: Olea europaea subsp. europaea
Lineage: Eukaryota; Viridiplantae; Streptophyta; Magnoliopsida; Lamiales; Oleaceae
Source: RNAcentral